This 468-nucleotide ribosomal RNA is filed under the name uncultured bacterium. RNAcentral describes it as "partial 16S ribosomal RNA". It matches the Rfam family "Bacterial small subunit ribosomal RNA", at positions 28 to 507 of the family's 1533-position model. The record is from RNAcentral.
GACGAACGCUGGCGGCGUGCUUAACACAUGCAAGUCGAACGGAAAGGCCCUGCUUUUGUGGGGUGCUCGAGUGGCGAACGGGUGAGUAACACGUGAGUAACCUGCCCUUGACUUUGGGAUAACUUCAGGAAACUGGGGCUAAUACCGGAUAGGAGCUCCUGCUGCAUGGUGGGGGUGGGAAAGUUUCGGCGGUUGGGGAUGGACUCGCGGCUUAUCAGCUUGUUGGUGGGGUAGUGGCUUACCAAGGCUUUGACGGGUAGCCGGCCUGAGAGGGUGACCGGCCACAUUGGGACUGAGAUACGGCCCAGACUCCUACGGGAGGCAGCAGUGGGGAAUAUUGCACAAUGGGCGGAAGCCUGAUGCAGCAACGCCGCGUGCGGGAUGACAGCCUUCGGGUUGUAAACCGCUUUCGCCUGUGACGAAGCGUGAGUGACGGUAAUGGGUAAAGAAGCACCGGCUAACUACGUG